Molecule: ribosomal RNA, 492 nt
Filed under: uncultured bacterium
Lineage: Bacteria
Description: partial 16S ribosomal RNA
Rfam family: Bacterial small subunit ribosomal RNA
Source: RNAcentral
AGUGAACGCUGGCGGUAGGCCUAACACAUGCAAGUCGAACGGCAGCACAGUAAGAGCUUGCUCUUACGGGUGGCGAGUGGCGGACGGGUGAGGAAUACAUCGGAAUCUACUUUUUCGUGGGGGAUAACGUAGGGAAACUUACGCUAAUACCGCAUACGACCUACGGGUGAAAGCAGGGGAUCUUCGGACCUUGCGCGAUUGAAUGAGCCGAUGUCGGAUUAGCUAGUUGGCGGGGUAAAGGCCCACCAAGGCGACGAUCCGUAGCUGGUCUGAGAGGAUGAUCAGCCACACUGGAACUGAGACACGGUCCAGACUCCUACGGGAGGCAGCAGUGGGGAAUAUUGGACAAUGGGCGCAAGCCUGAUCCAGCCAUACCGCGUGGGUGAAGAAGGCCUUCGGGUUGUAAAGCCCUUUUGUUGGGAAAGAAAUGCAGCAGGUUAAUACCCCGCUGUUCUGACGGUACCCAAAGAAUAAGCACCGGCUAACUUCGUG